Molecule: ribosomal RNA, 253 nt
Filed under: uncultured bacterium
Lineage: Bacteria
Description: partial 16S ribosomal RNA
Rfam family: Bacterial small subunit ribosomal RNA
Source: RNAcentral
UACGUAGGGGGCAAGCGUUGUCCGGAUUUAUUGGGCGUAAAGAGCGUGUAGGCGGCCAGAUAGGUCAGCUGUGAAAACUCGAGGCUCAACCUCGAGACGUCGGUUGAAACCAUCUGGCUAGAGUCCGGAAGAGGAGAGUGGAAUUCCCGGUGUAGCGGUGAAAUGCGCAGAUAUCGGGAAGAACACCCGUGGCGAAGGCGGCUCUCUGGGACGGUACUGACGCUGAGACGCGAAAGCGUGGGUAGCAAACAGG